UAAAUACUCCCUCCGUCUCAAAAUACUUGUCAAAGAAAUAGAUAAAAAAUAUGUGUAUCUACAAUUAAAAUACAUCUACAUACAUCCAUUUGUCUGACAAGUAUUUUCGGACAGAGGGAGUAUUUA
Molecule: non-coding RNA, 126 nt
Organism: Triticum aestivum (bread wheat)
Lineage: Eukaryota; Viridiplantae; Streptophyta; Magnoliopsida; Poales; Poaceae
Source: Rfam